Molecule: long non-coding RNA, 722 nt
Organism: Heterocephalus glaber (naked mole-rat)
Lineage: Eukaryota; Metazoa; Chordata; Mammalia; Rodentia; Bathyergidae
Source: Ensembl
CUUCCAUUGGGCGAGAUCUGCCACACGCCCUCCCGCCGACCAAUGGAAAGCGGCUGACGCACGGAGGCAGUGCCCAGAAUGGGCGCGAUGUGACGACGUCAUCAUGGAGCCAUAGGUUGCUGGGAGAGCAGCUGGUUGCCAGGACAACUGGCCCUUCCGCAGACGCGGGCUAGCCGGCUGGAGAGAAGAUCCACCCGGGGCGUGGAGUAGGUGGGCCCUCGCUGUUGGCGUCCAGCUCAUGCCGAAUUUUUAAAAUCCAGGGUACAGAAGGACUGAUGAUAAAAAACAGAAAGAGAGUAGGGACUGUUAGGUCAGCGCUUGUCACCAUUUAAAAUGUCAGCAGUGUUACACAAAAACAGUGGAGAUGUGUCUGCAAGAGCUGCGGCUCAGAAACCAUGGGCAUCAUGGCCACAUUUAGUGGCUGUCAAUCAGCUGGUGACAAACUUGCCAUCCGUCACAUGAUUCAUAUAGAGCCACAUAUCCUUGCUGUGUCUGAAGAAACUGGUCGCCAUAGUACCAUCCAGGUAGAAGCAAGGACAUCUCAGUCUCCCUGAAGAUUCCAGCAUGAGAAAGAGGUUUAUGAAUAUCAUCUCCCACCAAGAAGAACCAGGGACCUUGGAGAAAUGGUGCAGGGCUGUGGCAGGGAGAAGAUGGGUGGGCCUGGAGUAUCUUCUUAGGCUGGUCAGUAAGGAAAGAAGACAACAACAAAAUAGAUGAGUGGC